Molecule: ribosomal RNA, 737 nt
Filed under: uncultured Escherichia sp.
Lineage: Bacteria; Pseudomonadati; Pseudomonadota; Gammaproteobacteria; Enterobacterales; Enterobacteriaceae
Description: bacterial SSU rRNA
Rfam family: Bacterial small subunit ribosomal RNA
Source: RNAcentral
AUUGAACGCUGGCGGCAGGCCUAACACAUGCAAGUCGAACGGUAACAGGAAGAAGCUUGCUUCUUUGCUGACGAGUGGCGGACGGGUGAGUAAUGUCUGGGAAACUGCCUGAUGGAGGGGGAUAACUACUGGAAACGGUAGCUAAUACCGCAUAACGUCGCAAGACCAAAAAGGGGGACCUUCGGGCCUCUUGCCAUCGGAUGUGCCCAGAUGGGAUUAGCUAGUAGGUGGGGUAACGGCUCACCUAGGCGACGAUCCCUAGCUGGUCUGAGAGGAUGACCAGCCACACUGGAACUGAGACACGGUCCAGACUCCUACGGGAGGCAGCAGUGGGGAAUAUUGCACAAUGGGCGCAAGCCUGAUGCAGCCAUGCCGCGUGUAUGAAGAAGGCCUUCGGGUUGUAAAGUACUUUCAGCGGGGAGGAAGGGAGUAAAGUUAAUACCUUUGCUCAUUGACGUUACCCGCAGAAGAAGCACCGGCUAACUCCGUGCCAGCAGCCGCGGUAAUACGGAGGGUGCAAGCGUUAAUCGGAAUUACUGGGCGUAAAGCGCACGCAGGCGGUUUGUUAAGUCAGAUGUGAAAUCCCCGGGCUCAACCUGGGAACUGCAUCUGAUACUGGCAAGCUUGAGUCUCGUAGAGGGGGGUAGAAUUCCAGGUGUAGCGGUGAAAUGCGUAGAGAUCUGGAGGAAUACCGGUGGCGAAGGCGGCCCCCUGGACGAAGACUGACGCUCAGGUGC